This 260-nucleotide ribosomal RNA is filed under the name uncultured bacterium. RNAcentral describes it as "partial small subunit ribosomal RNA". It matches the Rfam family "Bacterial small subunit ribosomal RNA", at positions 26 to 285 of the family's 1533-position model. The record is from RNAcentral.
AGAAUCAACGCUGGCGGCGUGCCUAACACAUGCAAGUCGAACGAGAAAGGGGAGCAAUCCCUGAGUAAAGUGGCGACCGGGUGAGUAACACGUGACUAACCUACCCUCGAGUGUGGAAUAACAUCGGGAAACCGAUGCUAAUACCGCAUGACAUCGGCGCUUUUAAGAGAUGCCGAUCAAAGGAGCAAUCCGCUUGAGGAGGGGGUCGCGGCUGAUUAGCUAGUUGGCGGGUAACGGCCCACCAAGGCGAAAGAUCGGUA